UUCCGGUUGAUCCUGCCAGAGGUUACUGCUAUCGGAGUUCGAUUAAGCCAUGCGAGUCUAAAGGUUUCUUCGGAAACCUUGGCGGACUGCUCAGUAACACGUGGAUAACCUACCCUUGGGACUGGAAUAACCCCGGGAAACCGGGGAUAAUACCGGAUAGAUCAGGGAUGCUGGAAUGCACCUUGAUCCAAAGCUCCGGCGCCCAAGGAUGGGUCUGCGGCCUAUCAGGUAGUAGUGGGUGUAACGUACCUACUAGCCAACGACGGGUACGGGUUGUGAGAGCAAGAGCCCGGAGAUGGAUUCUGAGACACGAAUCCAGGCCCUACGGGGUGCAGCAGGCGCGAAACCUUUACAAUGUGCGAAAGCAUGAUAAGGGAACUCCGAGUGCCAGUAUCUAAUACUGGCUGUCCUUGUGCCUAAAACGCACAAGAUAGCAAGGGCCGGGUAAGACCGGUGCCAGCCGCCGCGGUAACACCGGCGGCCCGAGUGGUAGCCGCUAUUAUUGGGUCUAAAGGGUCCGUAGCCGGUUCGAUAAGUCCUCUGGGAAAUCUGGUUGCUUAACAAUCAGACUGCCAAGGGAUACUGUCGAACUUGAGACCGGGAGAGGUAAGAGGUACUUCAGGGGUAGGAGUGCAAUCUUGUAAUCCCUGGGGGACCAUCUGUGGCGAAGGCGUCUUACCAGAACGGGUCUGACGGUGAGGGACGAAAGCUGGGGGCGCAAACCGGAUUAGAUACCCGGGUAGUCCCAGCCGUAAACGAUGCUCGCUAUGUGUCAGGUACGGUGUGACCGUAUCUGGUGCCGUAGGGAAGCCGUGAAGCGAGCCACCUGGGAAGUACGGCCGCAAGGCUGAAACUUAAAGGAAUUGGCGGGGGAGCACUACAACGGGUGGAGCCUGCGGUUUAAUUGGAUUCAACGCCGGG
This 921-nucleotide ribosomal RNA is filed under the name uncultured archaeon. Its description in RNAcentral is "bacterial SSU rRNA". It matches the Rfam family "Archaeal small subunit ribosomal RNA", at positions 1 to 922 of the family's 1478-position model. The record is from RNAcentral.